UGGAACUCCAUGUGUAGCGGUGAAAUGCGUAGAUAUAUGGAGGAACACCAGUGGCGAAGGCGGCUCUCUGGUCUGUUACUGACGUUGAGGCUCGAAAGCAUGGGUAGCAAACAGGAUUAGAUACCCUGGUAGUCCAUGCCGUAAACGAUGAAUACUAGGUGUUGGAGGGUUUCCGCCCUUCAUUGCCGCAGAUAACGCAUUAAGUAUUCCGCCUGGGGAGUACGACCGCAAGUUUGAAACUCAAAGGAAUUGACGGGGGCCCGCACAAGUGGUGGAGCAUGUGGUUUAUUUGGAUGAUACGAGAAGAACUUUACCAGCUCUUGACAUCUUGUGCCAACCCAAGAGAUUGGGCGUUCCUUUGGGAGACAGAAUGACAGGUGGUGCAUGGUUGUCGUCAGCUCGUGUCGUAAGAUGUUGGGUUAAGUCCCGCAACGAGCGCAACCUUUAUUAUUAGUUGCCAGCAUUUAGUUGGGCACUCUAGUGAGACUGCCGGUGAUAAACCGGAGGAAGGUGGGGAUGACGUCAAAUCAUCAUGCCCCUUAUGAGUUGGGCUACACACGUGCUACAAUGGA
This 572-nucleotide ribosomal RNA is filed under the name Lactobacillaceae bacterium 3315O2. RNAcentral describes it as "bacterial SSU rRNA". It matches the Rfam family "Bacterial small subunit ribosomal RNA", at positions 662 to 1234 of the family's 1533-position model. Lineage: Bacteria; Bacillati; Bacillota; Bacilli; Lactobacillales; Lactobacillaceae. The record is from RNAcentral.